RNAcentral lists this unclassified non-coding RNA (184 nucleotides) under uncultured fungus. Its description in RNAcentral is "sequence contains ITS1". The record is from RNAcentral. Lineage: Eukaryota; Fungi.
GGUUGUUGCUGGUCUUCAAACGGGGACAUGUGCACGCUCUGUUUACACAUCCACUCACACCUGUGCACCCUCCGUAGUUCUAUGGUCUGGGGGACCCUGUCUUCCUGCCGUGGUUCUACGUCUUUACACACACUCUGUAAUAAAGUCUUAUGGAAUGUAUGCCGCGUCUAACGCAAUACAAUAC